Molecule: long non-coding RNA, 3570 nt
Organism: Ctenopharyngodon idella (grass carp)
Lineage: Eukaryota; Metazoa; Chordata; Actinopteri; Cypriniformes; Xenocyprididae
Exons: 4
Source: RefSeq, a predicted model, not a curated record
GUUUGCUCGAGUAAAAGCGUGAAUGUGUCAUUCAGUGAAAGUGUGCUGGUGUACAAACAUCCAUAAUGCAAACACCAGCUCAAGUGGGUAUCUAAACAUUUAGAGUUAUUGGGAAGACGUGAUCCUCUUGAAAUGAGAAGUGACUAAAUGAAGAGCUCCGGGAUGAAUUUUGCCUCCGGAAAACGAUCUGUUCACUUCAGGGGAUUUUCAGCUGCGUUUAUGCUGUUAUCUAUAUGCGCGCGCGGUGAUGGUGCUGACCAUAACGUUACGGCCAUGGCUGGAAAAGCAGCAGCUCUGCCCUGCAAGUGUCCGCCUGAUUACCCUCCGUAUGUGCUCUGGCAGAAGGCCGUUGGUGCACAGAGGCUCGUGGUAAAUUUCUACGAAGACGACAAUGAAACGGCACCAGAGUUUCGCAACAGAACCGUGCUGGAGCUGAAGACAGGAAACUGUUCUCUUGUGUUCUACAGCGUGCUUCUGUCAGACCAGGGACUGUACGAGUGCUACUAUCAGAAAAGACCUUUAAGACACAACAAAAUCUAUCUGGAGGUCACAGAUAACCAAAGACGAGAUUCAGUUCUGAGCAUCCAGAAAACUGUGGUGUCGUGUUCGGUUUGCGGGAUCCUUGUCAUUGUGAUUGCAGCGGCUGCAUUAUUUGUGGGAAUUAUUCACAAAAAAAAACAUCAAAGGAAUGGAGCAUUCAUUGCAACAUCGACAAGGAGCAUUUAAGAGCUGUCAGUAAUACAGAUCCAGAUCUCUGGUUUUAAAUUGCUUAUCACGGAUGAUAUCGUUACAAAAAUGCAAAACGUGCAGUGUGGGAUUAGAAAAAACAACAAAAUGCACAUGCUCAGACAAGACGGUUCAGUGACCCAUUUAAUUUGCUGAAAAGUCCCUCACACUCCAGCCUGGAAUAUGGUCAAUCAAAGUAAAACACAUUAUGCAAUAUGUAAACAUUACAAGUGAGCAUCAGAGAAAAGAUUCAAAACAAAAUAAUAAUGUACGAUACGCUUUAACAGAUGCUUUCUGUCCAAACAAUUUAUACUUUACUCAUUGUUUUCUCAUUUCCAACUAAACACACUUGCGACAUGAGCAGUGUUCUUGUUAAUAUACAGAGUACACAACCACAACACAGAUGUACAUUCAACUAUGGAAGCUUGUUUCAGCCAUGGAAUAAAACAAUAAAAAGGUAAUUGCGACUUUUUAUCUCACAAUUUUGACUUUUUCUCGUAAAUGCGAGUUUAUGUCUCACAAUUCGGACUUUAUGACUUGCAAUUACGACUUUUUAUCUCACAAUUCGGACUUUUUCUCGCAAUUGCGUGUUUAUAUCUCACAAUUCAGACUUUUUCUCACAAUUCUGACUUUUUCCCACAAUUUCAUGUUAAUAUCUCAAUUCAGAUUUGUUUUUUUGCAAUUACGACUUUUUAUCUCACAGUUCUGACUUUUUCUCGCAAUUUCAUGUUAAUAUCUCAAAUCAGAUUUUAUCUCACAAUUCUGACUUUUUCUGGCAAUUUUGAGUUUAUUUCUCACAAUUUGGACUUUAUAACUUGCAAUUACGACUUAUCCUCGCACAAUUCUGACUUUUUCUCACAAUUGCAUGUUUAUAUCUCACAAAUUGGACUUUUUCUCGCAAUUGCGAGUUUAUUUCUCACAAUUCAGACAUUUUCUCGCAAUUACAACUUUUUUCGCACAAUUCUGACUUUCUCGCAAUUACGACUUUUUAUCGCAUAAUUCUGACUUUCUCACAAUUACGACUUUUUAUCGCACAAUUCUGAAUUUUCUCACAAUUAUGACUUUUUAUCUCACAAUUAGGACUUUUUCUCGCAAUUGCGUGUUUAUAUCUCACAAUUCAGACUUUUUCUCACAAUUACGACUUUUUAUCUCACAAUUCUGACUUUUUCCCACAAUUUCAUGUUAAGAUCUCAAUUCAGAUUUGUUUUUUUGCAAUUACGACUUUUUAUCUCACAGUUCUGACUUUUUCUCGCAAUUUCAUGUUAAUAUCUCAAAUCAGACUUUAUCUCACAAUUCUGACUUUUUCUGGCAAUUUUGAGUUUAUUUCUCACAAUUUGGACUUUAUAACUUGCAAUUACGACUUAUCCUCACACAAUUCUGACUUUUUCCCACAAUUGCAUGUUUAUAUCUCACAAAUUGGACUUUUUCUCGCAAUUGCGAGUUUAUUUCUCACAAUUCAGGUAUUUUCUCGCAAUUACAACUUUUUUCGCACAAUUCUGACUUUCUCGCAAUUACGACUUUUUAUCGCAUAAUUCUGACUUUCUCACAAUUACAACUUUUUAUCGCACAAUUCUGAAUUUUCUCACAAUUACAACUUUUUAUCUCACAAUUCUGACUUUUUCUCGCAAUUUCGAGUUUAUUUCUCACAAUUCAGACUUUAUGACUUGUAAUUCUGACUUUUUUUUCUCACAAUUCUGACUCGCAAUUUCAAGUUAAUAUCGGAAUUCAGAUUUUUUUUCUUGCAAUUAUAACUUUUUAUCUCACAAUUUUGACUUUUUCUGGCAAUUUCGAGUUUAUAUCUCACAAUUCUGAAUUUUUCCUCGCGAUUUAAAUUUUUUAUCUCGAAAUUUGGACUUUUUCUCGCAAUUGUGAGUUUAUCUCUCACAAUUCUGACUUUAUAACUUCAGACUUUUUUGGGGGGGUUUCAAAGGGCAUUACUAAAUGUAGUCAUAGUGCAGGAAUGCACAAGUCCACCAGUGAACCAGAUGUGUGCACUUGUGUGUGUGUGUGUGUGUGAGAGAGAGUGUGUGUGUAAGCUGUAAGCCAUCUCACAGUCCUGCAUUUACAGGAUUUCUAGCAGUUGUAUAUAAUAAAGUUGAUGUAAUAUGGGAUGUUCUGGAGAUGUCUGUUUACUGUACUGGAAAUGAACCCUGUUCUGCUCAACAAACACAUUUUGCAUCAGUUAAACUUAAUUAUAUCACAAACAUGAACAAGUCUUUCUUUUCUGUUUUCCUUUUUUAAAGUCUGAAAUAUGUCAUCUAUGCAGAAACUGUUUGAUUCCAUGUGUUUUGCUGCACUUUUGUAUGCCAUAUACUGUAUACCAUAUCCCAGCUAACAGAAAUAUGUUCCAAGAAUGUUUUGUUAAUGUUCCCAUUGAGUGAUGAAAUGUUAUUUCUGAAUGUUCUGUGAAACUUCAAAACGGCCAGUUUACUUUUUAAUCUGUUUUAAAAAUGUUUUUUCUUGGUAAUCAGAAGGUUAAAGGAAUAUUCCAUUUUAUCGUUCAUCAAACAUUAUUGGAACGUUACUUUUGAAUGUUCUCUGAACAUUCCGAAACAAGUAGUAACAUUUAAAAAAUGUUAGACUUAUGUCCAACGAAGACAUUUCAGAAAAAAAGAAAAAAGAAAAAAAAAACUUUCAAUGAAUGGUCUAAACAAUGAGAACAUUAUUAUAGACCAGAUAACUCUGAACAAACGUUUUAUUAAUGUUACAGAAAGAACGUUGAGAGAACCUUGCCAGAAUGUUCUGAGAACUGUUAGCUGGGAUACGAGUAACAAAAAGUCUAAAAAGAUGUGUGAAAAUAAAAACUUUAUAUAAUACUGAAUAAAAUGUGAGUGGUGUACUAGA